Triticum dicoccoides is the source of this 2109-nucleotide long non-coding RNA. RefSeq lists it as uncharacterized. The record is from RefSeq and is a predicted model, not a curated record. NCBI's taxonomy places the organism in Eukaryota, Viridiplantae, Streptophyta, Magnoliopsida, Poales, Poaceae. The transcript has 4 exons.
GUCGAGGAGAAAGUGUAGUUGCUCCUACCUGCUGCUGACUGUCCAACGAACCCAACCUGAACCUACUGCACUCUUCUCGCCGAAAUGGAGACCAACUCCGAUUCCCCACCAACGGAGGAGUACGGGCGCCGGCUGUUCGCGGCUAGGUCCGGCAUCCUCACCGUCGAGGCGCUCUUCCGGUCUCAGUCCGUGGCGGGGAGAGCCAUGCGCGCGCUGGUGCACGACCCGCACCUCCUGUGAGCAGGUCGCCGGCGGUGCCCUUCUCGCAGCCAUGCACGGUGGACGUCCUCUGCGGGGAGACCUUCGCCAGGCGUGUAGGGCCGCGUAUCGUGGGCGGCGGGUGCGCUGCUGAGUGUUGUUCGUCAACUCGUUCCAUGAAACCGAGCAGACGGUGAGGGAGAAGGAUUACCUGGCGUCAACAUGGCGUGUGAAGUCCAUCAGCCCGACAGCGCCGCCGUUCUACCUGACGACCAUUGGUUUGACCUCUUUGAGUAUUGAGAGCAGAGCACCGUGCAUGGCAUGGCUGGAUAGCCAGCUCCCUUGCUCAGUCGUCUAUGCCCUUCUAACUUCUAUGAAACUGUCACUGACCUUGACCAAAGUCUGUUAGAGGAGAUAGUCAAUGGAGUCUGCAAAUCUGGUAAGCAGUUCCUCUGGGGUCUCUGAUCCGUUCACGAAUACAAGGUUUCAGAGCAAGCCCGUGAAGUGUAGGAUAGAGGGCUAAAUGUUGAAUGGUGUCCCCAGCUUGAAGUUUUACCACACAAGGCCUAAGGUAUGUAUGUUUUACUUACAACUGAUUGUGUGAUUUAUUAAGCAGCAGAAGAAAAAAAAUCCAUAUAGCCAUCUUACAGGUUCGUAUAUGAACAUUUGAACACUGUGCCACUGAAUGUGUAAAGUACAUUGUCAAAGUUUAUAAGCAGAGCAAUAUAAUAACCAUCACUGUUUAUGUGAGGUGUUGUGAUGUCUGAUAAUGUUACUGCAUAGUAAUAUUCCCUAAUUGUUCUUAUUUUUCAGAUGAUGAAAUGAAAUAAAUGUUAACGUCCUAGCAAUUACAGAUUAGUGUGCAAAGGCGCCAUUCUCCAGUUAUAGCAACACAAUGCCAUAUUAAUCAAUUUCAAUGUGAAAAAGGCAACACAAUGCCAAAUCUUGUAAGCUGUAGCUUAUCUCUUAAUUAAAUCUAAUUAUGUCUAACUCAAAGUAUAAAAGGGAUGUGAAUCCUGCAUAAUGUGUAGUGAACAUAUGGAGUGAUCUGUUCCAAAUAAUUAAGUAGCUAGUAAAAAAAUAUUAUGUCCGUUCUGAACUCAUCAACAGGUUGUUUCUUAACUCCGUGCGGAUGGAGCUCUGCAAUAGAAGCAAUUACUACUGGCGUACCACUGUUGGCAAUGCCUCAGUAAAUGUUUUUUUUCGAGGAGCCUCUGUAAAUGAUUAACCAACUACAACAAUGCAUUGGUGUGGUGACAAACGAAAAUUGGUGUGCGGAUGCAUCAUGGUAAAGGUGCAGUGAGAAACCAAGAGAUCAGUAAGAAAAGAAAUUAGUUUAAGACAGAGCAAAACUACGCAACUUCAAAAGAUGGGUGAAGACGAGGAGAUACUAAAGCUUCAAGUCCUGAAUGAAGGUGAGCGACAGUACAUGAUUAGCACAAGGUUUUUGGUGCUGUUUCAUCAGGUCCGGUUAUUGAAGCAAAAAAAAAAUUGUUCGAGGGUGCAAGAAGCCAAGAUUAGCAGAAGGCUGAAGGUGACUCAGGGUCCGGUGACGGAAGCAACAAAAUGCAUUGUUAUUUCUCCUCUCCUUAUCCCAGUAGAUGGUGUGAAAAAUGGGCACGAGUUAUCUUCAUUUGCCAUAUGUAAACAAGACAUUUACGAUGGCUACAUACUUAGAACAUGUAGGCAAAAAUCCUACACAUGCAGAAAAUAACUUAUUGACCCAUCUCUUCGCUUAACUAAUCCCUCCUCCUUUGAUUUUCAGCCAUACCUUGACGUCUAAACCAGUACUUCUAACCGUGUACAAUUCCUUCCUAGGUGUAGCGUCUCUCUAUUAUUGGCACUCUCCGUAUACGGCUGCAUCCUGAAGAGAAAAAAGGGCCACACAAAUUUGUAAUGCAAUGUGUGAUG